AUUUGUGGGGGUUACAGACUUCCGGUCGGUGAUGUAAUACCCCCACAUACCUUUGUUUCCUGCCGUUAGCAUUGUUUCACCGUCUGAUUUAAAAUUUCGAACGCGAGCUAAGGAUACUUGGACAGAAAUUGGAUAUAAUAAGUUACGUUUCAGUGUCAUCACAGACCGUACAAAAUAUCAUAUUUAAUAUGGUGAAACGUUUGACAUGGAUAUUCACAUCAUGAGUGAGACUGAGUGUUUCGAGAUGCAGCAUGAUGCGAGUUGAAAUAAACACACGUGAAACGAAGGAAUAUCAGAAUAAUGGUUUUACAUCUACCAGCUAGAGUCCGAGUGCUUGGGCUGACCGAAAAGAAAAACCAGAAAAUGCUCCGAAGUAAAGAACUGAUACAGAAAAAGAAAAAACAACAGAUUUUCAAGAAAUGAGAACGUUGCAACGAUAGACCGAUCUGGACAAUUGACCAUUGGAAUGUUGCUUUAUUUGGCGGGUAUCGAACUGUCUUUACAUGUAUUUUCACGUCAUAGUAUUUUGAUCCAUUGUUGAUUUGAAAGUAAUUUCCAAAUAAAAAAAUAUUUAGCAAUUA
Molecule: long non-coding RNA, 581 nt
Organism: Ostrea edulis (European flat oyster)
Lineage: Eukaryota; Metazoa; Mollusca; Bivalvia; Ostreida; Ostreidae
Exons: 3
Source: RefSeq, a predicted model, not a curated record